AUGUAUGCCUCAAGGCUCCACCUUUUGCCAGAUCCAAGUGCUCGUGGGUUCGUGGGCGAUGCCACCCACCGACGGCAAGUGCAGCCCUGCCAACCCCCUCCAGACAUGGUAGUUCUGACCAACUUUGGCUUCCACAUCUUCAAUUCCGGACUAGGCGGCUAUGGGAUUGCUCAGCUUCAGGCCAGGGAGAGAUCCCUGCUCGGCUUGCCGGUGCUGGCAGCGGCGGCGCCCGCGGGUGUCGCUUCCUUCUUGGAGGCGCUGUCAAGGCCUUCAGCUGCGCCCCUCUUCGAUCUUGCAACCUCAAGGCGCGAGAAGCUCAUAUAUACUAGCUAA
Molecule: ribosomal RNA, 333 nt
Filed under: Triticum aestivum (bread wheat)
Lineage: Eukaryota; Viridiplantae; Streptophyta; Magnoliopsida; Poales; Poaceae
Description: partial small subunit ribosomal RNA
Source: RNAcentral